UACGUAGGGGGCGAGCGUUGUCCGGAAUCAUUGGGCGUAAAGCGCGUGUAGGCGGCUUGGUAAGUCUGGCGUGAAACCUCGGGGCUCAACCCCGAGCCUGCACUGGAUACUGCCUCGCUCGAGUCCGGGAGGGGAGAGCGGAAUUCCUAGUGUAGCGGUGAAAUGCGCAGAUAUUAGGAAGAACACCGGUGGCGAAGGCGGCUCUCUGGAACGGUACUGACGCUGAGACGCGAAAGCGUGGGGAGCAAACAGG
RNAcentral lists this ribosomal RNA (253 nucleotides) under uncultured bacterium. RNAcentral's name for it is "partial 16S ribosomal RNA". It matches the Rfam family "Bacterial small subunit ribosomal RNA", at positions 524 to 776 of the family's 1533-position model. The record is from RNAcentral.